CCAUGGUCUUCCAAAUAAAAUAUGUCCUUGAGAGUGCCAUCACCCAUGGUCUCACAACUCAGCUUCUUAGUUUCCAAAUCUUCAACAUCUCCAUACCCACCUAUUAGAGACUUACCUUCUAAAUAUAACAUUACUAUGAUGUUGACUGCCCUUGAUAAAGCCUUCUUAAUGAAAAUCACAGAGCUUGAAACGGACGCUUGGGACAACCUUGAUAAUUAGAUGCAAGAUCUGGAAUAAUUUACUGAAGAUCAAAAAACACAACUUUUGUCUUUUGAGACACAUGUGAGUACUAACACUCUACAGAUUUCCCUAUUAUACCGUUACUUAGACAGAAUUGAAAAUAGGGGCAGACAAAAUAAUAAACUAGUGAAGGGUGUUCCCAAACACUGAGAAAAAAUUUAAAAUAUGAUCCCGACACUGACCCAUUUAUUUAAC
Molecule: non-coding RNA, 435 nt
Organism: Pelobates cultripes (western spadefoot toad)
Lineage: Eukaryota; Metazoa; Chordata; Amphibia; Anura; Pelobatidae
Source: the annotation of a GenBank genome assembly